Molecule: ribosomal RNA, 433 nt
Filed under: uncultured bacterium
Lineage: Bacteria
Description: partial 16S ribosomal RNA
Rfam family: Bacterial small subunit ribosomal RNA
Source: RNAcentral
AACGAACGCUGGCGGCAUGCCUAACACAUGCAAGUCGAACGAGACCUUCGGGUCUAGUGGCGCACGGGUUCGUAACGCGUGGGAACCUGCCCUUAGGUUCGGAAUAACUCCCCGACAGGGGUGCUAAUACCGGAUCAUGUCUUCGGACCAAAGAUUUAUCGCCUUUGGAUGGGCCCUCGUUGGAUUAGCUUGUGGGUAGGGUAAAAGCCUACCAAGGCGCCGAUCCAUAGCUGGUCUGAGAGGAUGAUCAGCCACACUGGGACUGAGACACGGCCCAGACUCCUACGGGAGGCAGCAGUGGGGAAUAUUGGACAAUGGGCGAAAGCCUGAUCCAGCAAUGCCGCGUAAGUGAUGAAGGCCUUAGGGUUGUAAAGCUCUUUUACCCGGGAUGAUAAUGACAGUACCGGGAGAAUAAGCUCCGGCUAACUCCGUG